This 313-nucleotide unclassified non-coding RNA is filed under the name uncultured fungus. Its description in RNAcentral is "partial contains 5.8S ribosomal RNA and internal transcribed spacer 2". The stretch from base 1 to 133 matches the Rfam family "5.8S ribosomal RNA", at positions 22 to 154 of the family's 154-position model. Lineage: Eukaryota; Fungi. The record is from RNAcentral.
UGGUUCUGGCAUCGAUGAAGAACGCAGCGAAAUGCGAUAAGUAAUGUGAAUUGCAGAAUUCAGUGAAUCAUCGAAUCUUUGAACGCACAUUGCGCCCUUUGGUAUUCCGAGGGGCACGCCUGUUCGAGCGUCAUUUAAAUAAUCAAGCCUAGCUUGGUAUUGGACCCGGUCGAGUGACCCGUCCGUAACUCGUUGGCGGUACAGUCUGGCUUCAAGCGUAGCAAAAUUUUCGCUUCAGAAGUCCGUACGGUACCCGCCAGAUAAUGGCCACCUUUUAAAGUUUGACCUCGGAUCAGGUGGGGAUACCCGCUGA